This 440-nucleotide ribosomal RNA is filed under the name uncultured Chromobacterium sp. Its description in RNAcentral is "bacterial SSU rRNA". It matches the Rfam family "Bacterial small subunit ribosomal RNA", at positions 424 to 859 of the family's 1533-position model. The record is from RNAcentral. Lineage: Bacteria; Pseudomonadati; Pseudomonadota; Betaproteobacteria; Neisseriales; Chromobacteriaceae.
UGUAAAGUUCUUUUACCUGAGAGCAAAGUUUAGUUGUUAAUAGCAAUUAGAGCUGAGAGUAUCAGGAGAAUAAGCACCGGCUAACUACGUGCCAGCAGCCGCGGUAAUACGUAGGGUGCGAGCGUUAAUCGGAAUUACUGGGCGUAAAGGGUGCGCAGGCGGUUGUGAAAGUUAGAAGUGAAAGUCCCGAGCUUAACUUGGGGAUUGCUUUUAAUACUACAUAACUAGAGUUAGUCAGAGGGGGGUAGAAUUCCAAGUGUAGCAGUGAAAUGCGUAGAUAUUUGGAGGAAUACCGAUGGCGAAGGCAGCCCCCUGGGAUGUAACUGACGCUCAGGCACGAAAGCGUGGGUAGCAAACAGGAUUAGAUACCCUGGUAGUCCACGCCCUAAACGAUGUUUACUUGCUGUUGGGAAGAGAUUCUUAGUAGCGAAGCUAACGCG